RNAcentral lists this ribosomal RNA (232 nucleotides) under uncultured bacterium. Its description in RNAcentral is "partial 16S ribosomal RNA". It matches the Rfam family "Bacterial small subunit ribosomal RNA", at positions 28 to 262 of the family's 1533-position model. The record is from RNAcentral.
GACGAACGCUGGCGGCGUGCUUAACACAUGCAAGUCGAGCGGUAAGGCCCUUUCGGGGGUACACGAGCGGCGAACGGGUGAGUAACACGCGGGUGACCUGCCCUCAGCUCUGGGAUAAGCCUGGGAAACUGGGUCUAAUACUGGAUAUGACUCCACGGUGCAUGUCGUGGGGUGGAAAGCCUUGUGCGGCUGAGGAUGGGCCCGCGGCCUAUCAGCUUGUUGGGGGGUGAUG